This is a long non-coding RNA of Rhipicephalus sanguineus (brown dog tick), 1038 nucleotides long. RefSeq lists it as uncharacterized. The transcript is spliced from 6 exons. The record is from RefSeq and is a predicted model, not a curated record. Lineage: Eukaryota; Metazoa; Arthropoda; Arachnida; Ixodida; Ixodidae.
CACCCUUUACCUUCAUUGUCUGAAUAGGGACAAUACGAACACAAUCGUUUCUUUAUGCUUAUACGCAGCGAAAAAGUCCGUUCUGUGCGCAGUCACGUCUCCGACUAGGUUCAACCAAAGUGUCAGGGCUAACAAUUCCCAGCCUUCUUCCCAGCUGCCGGAAUCUGUCACUACCUCAUAGUGGACAUUGCACAUGGGUCACCGCCAAACUACCAAGCUGCCGACUACGAAUUCAUUCUAAUCUUCUCAAGAAGCGUCGUCGUUCUGUUCACAAUUGACGAAGCCAUGCCCGCAGACAUCAGGAAAGCAACGCACGAUAAGGCCUUUCGCAGUAACCUUGCCUUAGUACGCAAAGACCUGCCAACGUUUGCCGGCUUAGGCUACCUUGCAUCUAUUCCCGGUCUACACCAACGAUCCACGAUAAACAACAUUGUACCUGUACUCCGCGAUCUCUUCAAGAACCUGGAAUAUGAUCUCUUGGAAGCGAGAGUUGGAGCUCCUGAGAUUUCCAAUUUUUUCACCGUCACGCCAGACUCAACUCAGUACACCGCAGUUUACCAGGACCUUCUGAAAGGCCUUGACGGCGCUGUCCGCUUCAUCAUUGUUAACACAGUCGCAAAACUCCGAAUCAUCUCCUUGCUAUGCUCAAGCAAGGUCUUCGUGGGAUACGGGAUGCUUCUUUAGCAACAGCAGUCAACUGACGAUGGUCGACAUUGUCAAGAUGACCGGAAAAUUGAAGAAUUUUGCCUCCAGUGUUGCACUUACCCUGAGUAUGACCAUGACAGUCAUAAAGGGUAUCGACAUAAGUGCCAUCAUGCAAGCUGGAAGGCCGCAUGCGAUACAGCGGGCUAAAUGCACAAAUAUGACAGAAGACAAGUACGAAGUGGUUUGUCGCACGUGGCUUUAUUCUGGAAGUUAUGCGAUAAAUUACGUGCAUUACCUGCCGGAUGGCUGUUGCAACUUCGUCGAGAGCAGAUAUCCCAACGAAGUACUCACAUUCGAAACGCCGAAAUCCAUAGAGGACAAGGCAAGAACACU